GCGGUAGUGGUAUAACGGCUUAUUACCUCAGCCCUCCAAGCUGAAGACGAGGGUUCGACUCCCUUCUACCGCU
RNAcentral lists this transfer RNA (73 nucleotides) under Treponema sp. Its description in RNAcentral is "tRNA-Gly". It matches the Rfam family "tRNA". Rfam says of the family: Transfer RNA (tRNA) molecules are approximately 80 nucleotides in length. Their secondary structure includes four short double-helical elements and three loops (D, anti-codon, and T loops). Lineage: Bacteria; Pseudomonadati; Spirochaetota; Spirochaetia; Treponematales; Treponemataceae. RNAcentral also lists the same sequence under 1 other name. The record is from RNAcentral.